This 837-nucleotide ribosomal RNA is filed under the name uncultured bacterium. RNAcentral describes it as "bacterial SSU rRNA". It matches the Rfam family "Bacterial small subunit ribosomal RNA", at positions 8 to 842 of the family's 1533-position model. The record is from RNAcentral.
AGAGUUUGAUCCUGGCUCAGGAUGAACGCUGGCGGCGUGCUUAACACAUGCAAGUCGAACGAAGCACUUUAUUUGAUUUCCUUCGGGACUGAUUAUUUUGUGACUGAGUGGCGGACGGGUGAGUAACGCGUGGGUAACCUGCCUUGUACAGGGGGAUAACAGUUGGAAACGGCUGCUAAUACCGCAUAAGCGCACAGCAUCGCAUGAUGCAGUGUGAAAAACUCCGGUGGUAUAAGAUGGACCCGCGUUGGAUUAGCUAGUUGGUGAGGUAACGGCCCACCAAGGCGACGAUCCAUAGCCGACCUGAGAGGGUGACCGGCCACAUUGGGACUGAGACACGGCCCAAACUCCUACGGGAGGCAGCAGUGGGGAAUAUUGCACAAUGGGCGAAAGCCUGAUGCAGCGACGCCGCGUGAGCGAAGAAGUAUUUCGGUAUGUAAAGCUCUAUCAGCAGGGAAGAUAAUGACGGUACCUGACUAAGAAGCACCGGCUAAAUACGUGCCAGCAGCCGCGGUAAUACGUAUGGUGCAAGCGUUAUCCGGAUUUACUGGGUGUAAAGGGAGCGCAGGCGGUGCGGCAAGUCUGAUGUGAAAGCCCGGGGCUCAACCCCGGUACUGCAUUGGAAACUGUCGUACUAGAGUGUCGGAGGGGUAAGCGGAAUUCCUAGUGUAGCGGUGAAAUGCGUAGAUAUUAGGAGGAACACCAGUGGCGAAGGCGGCUUACUGGACGAUAACUGACGCUGAGGCUCGAAAGCGUGGGGAGCAANACAGGAUUAGAUACCCUGGUAGUCCACACCGUAAACGAUGAAUACUAAGGGUUGGGAAGCAUUGCUUCUCG